Molecule: long non-coding RNA, 970 nt
Organism: Rattus norvegicus (Norway rat)
Lineage: Eukaryota; Metazoa; Chordata; Mammalia; Rodentia; Muridae
Source: RefSeq, a predicted model, not a curated record
GUGGCCUUACUGGGGGAGUUCUACCACUGAGGACAGGCUUUGAAGUUUCAAAAGCCCAUCCCAGACUCUGUCUGUUCUGUUCUGUUCUGUUCUGUUCUGUUCUGUUCUGUUCUGUUCUGUUCUGUUCUGUUCUGUUCUGUCCUGUUCUGUUCGUUCUCUCUCUCUCUCUCUCUCUCUCUCUCUCUCUCUCUCUCUCUCUCUCUCUCUCUCUCUCUUUCUCUCUCAAUGUGAAGCUCUUAGAUACUGCUCCAGCACCAUGCCUGUCUCCUUCUCAUCAUGACGAUCAUGAACUAACCCUCUAAAGCUGAAAGAGGACCUACUUUCUGCUAAGUAGGAAAAAGCUACAGAAGUAAUGGACCAGGUCUGGGGCUCUGAGGCAGCUGCCUGGAGAUUAUCAAAUAGGAUCCCUCCGAGAGACGCGACCUUCCUCUUCUGGGGCAUAGCUCGGUCUUCUACUUGGACUGACGCUCAAAGCCUGAUUUUCUUCCCUGAAGAAACAGAGAUAGCGGGGGCAGGAGAGAUGCCUCAGCCGUUAAGAGCACUGACUGUUCUUCCUAAAGGUCCUGAGUUCAAUUCCCGGCAACCAUAUGGUGGCUCACAGCCAUCUGUAAUGGGAUCCAAUGCCCUCUUCUGGUGUGUCUGAAGACAGCGACAGGGUACUCAUAUACAUAAUAUAAGUAAAUAAGUUUUUUAAAAAAGAAGAAGAAACAGAGAGAGCAACCAGGGUAGUAUGUUCUACACAGGGAGUUCAUCUCUUAGGAGACUCUGAGGUCCAGCUUUCCUAUCCCAUGAGGUCUCUGGUACAGCUAUCUGAUGCCCAUGCCUAAAUCCUAACUCCUAAGGACUUUGCCUGGUUGCUCUAUGUGUCCCUAAAUUCUCCUUCCAAAUAGUCCCACAUUAAGGCUUAAUUUGUACUUUAUGUAUGGCUCUCAAUAAAUGUCUGUGUGGACUCUAGCUUUUCUGGAGAAAA